AUGUAUCAGAUGAGAAAUUUGUGGUGUGCUCCAUAUCUUAAGGGGCGUUGUUUCCUAGGAUUGAGCAGCAAUCAAAGGAGUGAGAGCUUGAACUCUGUGCUACAUACGCAUCUUGAGGGUAAGAUGUCGUUGUUUGAAAUGCUAGAGCACUAUGAGCGUUGUCUUGCGUCGCGACGGAUUAACGAAGCUCUCCAAGAAGUCGAAGCCUUGCAGUCCGUUCCAUUUACAGAGGAAAAUGCUUCGCCGCUUGAGAAACACGCCGCAACAGUUUUCACACCUAAUGUCUUUAAGAUGGUCUUAUGGAGCAUAGAUGCUGUCAGCAAAUGUCAGAUUAGAGAGAUACUAGAUGGAUCAGAAGAUUCCACUUAUGUUGUGUCCAAGCAGGAAAGAAUGGAUAAAAAGUUUGGAGUGCGCAUUGAAGAGCAAGGAGGUCUCUUGCACAGGGUGAGUUGUUCUUGCCGUAAGCUGGAAUGCGCAGGCACACCAUGUUCCCACAUUUUUUACAUAUUGGGGAUUUUAAAACAAACAAUUCUGCCCAGUUGUUGCGUUCCCACUAGGUGGACUAUGAAUGCAAAAUAUGCAUACGCACCUACCAGAAAAGACCAGAUGUAUGACUAUUCGAUAAGCCUGCAGAGGUACCGCGAGUUGCGGAAUUGUAGUCACGCUGCAAGUUUCAAGGCAUGCCACUCUGAUGAGGACUAUCACCGUCUAAAGAUGCUUUUGCAAGCACAACAUCAUGGCAAGCAAUCAAGUUUUGAACAAGCUGACAGCAAGGAGUCAACUAAUGCUCAGCAUAAUAGCAUUAGGUUUGGCCCGUUGAUGCCGCACUCGGAGAAAGUUGAUAAGGUUCUGGAUCCCGUGCAUGUGCCAGGCCGAGGUGCACCGAAGAAAAGGCUGCAGGCAAAGACAAAGAAGUCGAGAUCACAGAAUAUCUGUGGCUAUUGCAAGAAUCCUGGUCACAAUCGACGUAAAUGC
RNAcentral lists this ribosomal RNA (975 nucleotides) under Triticum aestivum (bread wheat). RNAcentral describes it as "partial small subunit ribosomal RNA". Lineage: Eukaryota; Viridiplantae; Streptophyta; Magnoliopsida; Poales; Poaceae. The record is from RNAcentral.